GUUCCUCUAUCACCUGAAGCUGCUGAACAUUGGGAUGGAGGAUGAUCUGGAAGUGAGUGAGCCUGGAGGUGGGACCAAGGAGCAGGAUCCUGAGGGAAAUCGGGUCAACUUCCAGAAAUGGUAUGAGAAAUUAAAAGUCAUCAGGAGGAUCCAGCUGCUCCAGCAGGAUGCAAAUGCGUAUGACCUGGAGCCUGAAGAGUGAUUUGGGGCCUGGUUCCAGGCCAUGGAGCCCCUCAGUGUCCAUGAGAGCUACUGGGUCUCCUGCUAGCUGGAGCUUGCACACCAGAAGGCGAGCAAAAUGCGGCUCUUCAAGAGAAAGAGGAACCGGACAUCCUCCAGUUUAGGGCCGACCACCACGCCCUUGGCGAUGAGCCGUCACACUCUGGAGACCACAAGUGCAG
Molecule: long non-coding RNA, 401 nt
Organism: Diceros bicornis minor
Lineage: Eukaryota; Metazoa; Chordata; Mammalia; Perissodactyla; Rhinocerotidae
Exons: 5
Source: RefSeq, a predicted model, not a curated record